UGGAGGACCUUGGACAUGUCGGCGGCCGCCUUCUUCGCGUUCUUGGCUACCAGGGCGGUGUAUCGCGCGGUCUCUGGCAUCUUCAUCCGCCAGUAGUAGGUUAGGGCGGCCGGGAGGGCUCCCAGCAUGAGAAUUAUGCGCCAGAUGUAAUCGGCCUGCGAUACGGUGGAGCCUUCCCGGUCGAACUGGUAGGCCGGCGCGUCAAAGCGGCUCUUGAAGGCGGCGGAGACAAUGAGGGCGACGAUGCCGCCGGUGAGGAUGCCGAAGCCCUGCAUGGCGAAGACGGCAGCGAUGAAGGCUCCGCGGGUCCUCUUGUUGGCAUACUCCGACAUGAUGGUGGC
This 341-nucleotide long non-coding RNA is filed under the name Musa acuminata (dwarf banana). Its description in RNAcentral is "long non-coding RNA (MACU_LNC002596)". Lineage: Eukaryota; Viridiplantae; Streptophyta; Magnoliopsida; Zingiberales; Musaceae. The record is from RNAcentral.